CCUACGGGGGGCAGCAGUGAGGAAUAUUGGUCAAUGGACGAGAGUCUGAACCAGCCAAGUAGCGUGAAGGAUGACUGCCCUAUGGGUUGUAAACUUCUUUUAUAUGGGAAUAAAACGUUCCACGUGUGGGAUUUUGUAUGUACCAUAUGAAUAAGGAUCGGCUAACUCCGUGCCAGCAGCCGCGGUAAUACGGAGGAUCCGAGCGUUAUCCGGAUUUAUUGGGUUUAAAGGGUGCGUAGGUGGAUUGUUAAGUCAGUUGUGAAAGUUUGCGGCUCAACCGUAAAAUUGCAGUUGAAACUGGCAGUCUUGAGUACAGUAGAGGUGGGCGGAAUGCGUGGUGUAGCGGUGAAAUGCUUAGAUAUCACGAAGAACUCCGAUUGCGAAGGCAGUUCACUGGACUGCAACUGACACUGAGGCUCGAAAGUGUGGGUAUCAAACAGGAUUAGAUACCCGGGUAGUC
Molecule: ribosomal RNA, 460 nt
Filed under: uncultured bacterium
Lineage: Bacteria
Description: partial 16S ribosomal RNA
Rfam family: Bacterial small subunit ribosomal RNA
Source: RNAcentral